AAUCAAGAAUGAUUGAGAAUAGGAACGGCUCAAGACGUUCACAACUAAGGCCAUGAAUAGCUAGGAAUUCCCUUUAAGAGCAAAGGUUUUAUCAUCAGACAGACCUACUUGCAGGAUAUUACUCUAUGAAGAUGUAAUGUUUGGAGCUGCAGCGAUCAUUUUGGAAUCAUGAGGCAAUCAACCUAAGAAUGAAAGCCAACAAGUUGAAGAAAGCAGGACAGAAUAAAGACCCUGGAUUCUUGGUGACACUUUUGGUUUCCAAAACUACUCUGAG
This 274-nucleotide long non-coding RNA is filed under the name Homo sapiens (human). Its description in RNAcentral is "PREDICTED lncRNA (TCONS_00056144)". Lineage: Eukaryota; Metazoa; Chordata; Mammalia; Primates; Hominidae. The record is from RNAcentral.